UACGUAGGGUGCGAGCGUUAAUCGGAAUUACUGGGCGUAAAGCGUGCGCAGGCGGCGCGUUAAGACAGGUGUGAAAGCCCCGAGCUUAACUUGGGAAUUGCGCUUGUGACUGGCGUGCUGGAGUGUGGCAGAGGGAGGUGGAAUUCCAGGUGUAGCGGUGAAAUGCGUAGAUAUCUGGAGGAACACCGGUGGCGAAGGCGGCAUCCUGGACCGACACUGACGCUGAGGAGCGAAAGCCAGGGGAGCAAACGGG
Molecule: ribosomal RNA, 253 nt
Filed under: uncultured bacterium
Lineage: Bacteria
Description: partial 16S ribosomal RNA
Rfam family: Bacterial small subunit ribosomal RNA
Source: RNAcentral